Molecule: long non-coding RNA, 751 nt
Filed under: Fukomys damarensis (Damara mole-rat)
Lineage: Eukaryota; Metazoa; Chordata; Mammalia; Rodentia; Bathyergidae
Description: lncRNA (ENSFDAG00000028321.1)
Source: RNAcentral
GCUUUAAGCUUUCUUUGUAGAUUGUGUAAAAUGUUUAAUUUUUUUAUUGUUGAGGAAUUUUCUUCUCUUUAAGUAAAAAAAAAAAUCUUUUCUUUUGUCAGGAAAUGUCUGGGAUGGCAGAGAAUCUGGUUGUGCCUUGGAGUGAAGCCAGGAGGCCUCCUUCUGUUCAUGGACUGCUUAAGAAUAGUCAACUCACCCUUGUGCCUAGUCAGUAAAUGAAUCCACAUGGGAACUUGAAAAUCAUCUUGAUGUAUUAUUUUUACAUAAAUUUUUGUUUUGUAAAAUUUUUUUUUUAUGAAAUAGUAUGCUUUUAAUUUAGAAGGCCUGUUUUAAAAAGAAAAAGAAAGAAAAUCAAUCUUAUUUUGUGGUCUCCUAAUAACAAAAAAGAAUGAUUUGUACAGUCAUUAAUAAAGGCUGCCUGUUGAAAUCUCUUCUACUUUAUAGAAACACAGAAAAACAUAGUCUUGUUAUUUCAGCACAGCUCUAGAUUUUGCACACUGGAGAACCAUGCAUGCUGCUGCUGCUCACUGCAAGAAGUUGAGAUUCUAAACAUAUAGAUUUGAAAAUGAUUUAUCUGUCUCUGUUGUGUGCCCAUAAAUAUGAAAGUGUUAGACCAAAAGUAUUCUGCCACAUAAAAGGUUAAUUAUGAAAGCUUCUGUGGGAAACAGAAUGCUAAGGACAGAACAGAAGCCUGCUUUUCAAGCCUCUCUCUGAUUUGUUAUGGAACAUAAAGGUCAUGAUCCCUGUGGAU